GAGUUUGAUCAUGGCUCAGAACGUACGCUGGCGGCACGCCUAACACAUGCAAGUCGAACGAAGUAGCAAUACUUAGUGGCAGACGGGUGAGUAACAUGUAGGUAUCUGCCCUUUGGCCUGGAAUAACACGAGGAAACUUGUGCUAAUACCGGAUAAGUCUUUACGGAGAAAGCUUUAUGCACCAUUGGAUGAGCCUGCACUUGAUUAGUUUGUUGGUGGGGUAAUGGCCUACCAAGACUGUGAUCAAUAGCUGAUUUGAGAGGAUGAUCAGCCACAUUGGGACUGAGACACGGCCCAAACUCCUACGGGAGGCAGCAGUGGGGAAUCUUGCACAAUGGAGGAAACUCUGAUGCAGCGAUGCCGCGUGAGUGAAGAAGGCCCUUGGGUUGUAAAGCUCUUUCGUCGGGGAAGAAAAUGACUGUACCCGAAUAAGAAGGUCCGGCUAACUUCGUGCCAGCAGCCGCGGUAAUACGAAGGGACCUAGCGUAGUUCGGAAUUACUGGGCUUAAAGAGUUCGUAGGUGGUUGAAAAAGUUAGUGGUGAAAUCCCAGAGCUUAACUCUGGAACUGCCAUUAAAACUUUUCAGCUAGAGUAUGAUAGAGGAAAGCAGAAUUUCUAGUGUAGAGGUGAAAUUCGUAGAUAUUAGAAAGAAUACCAAUUGCGAAGGCAGCUUUCUGGAUCAUUACUGACACUGAGGAACGAAAGCAUGGGUAGCGAAGAGGAUUAGAUACCCUCGUAGUCCAUGCCGUAAACGAUGUGUGUUAGACGUUGGAAAUUUAUUUUCAGUGUCGCAGGAAACCGAUAAACACACCGCCUGGGGAGUACGACCGC
Molecule: ribosomal RNA, 831 nt
Filed under: uncultured bacterium
Lineage: Bacteria
Description: bacterial SSU rRNA
Rfam family: Bacterial small subunit ribosomal RNA
Source: RNAcentral